Pelobates cultripes (western spadefoot toad) is the source of this 215-nucleotide non-coding RNA. NCBI's taxonomy places the organism in Eukaryota, Metazoa, Chordata, Amphibia, Anura, Pelobatidae. The record is from the annotation of a GenBank genome assembly.
UUAGUUCUUGGAAGAGGAGACACAGGGAUAUUACAUUCACCAUUAAUACACCACGCAGAGUGGAUUUCUCUCAAGUUAUACAACAUCCAGGUGGUAGAAUCUUGGGCCCCAAAUCUCUGGCACCUCUUUAGGUGUAUGGACGGCUGCCUGGGCAGUCCUCCAGGUGGGUCCUCAGAUUAGAAGUGGAACUGAUGGUACAGUCUGCUGCUUUGGGC